Molecule: ribosomal RNA, 253 nt
Filed under: uncultured bacterium
Lineage: Bacteria
Description: partial 16S ribosomal RNA
Rfam family: Bacterial small subunit ribosomal RNA
Source: RNAcentral
UACGUAGGUGACAAGCGUUGUCCGGAUUUACUGGGCGUAAAGAGCGCGCAGGCGGUCGAUCAAGUCGAGUGUGAAAGCCCCCGGCUCAACUGGGGAGGGUCAUUCGAUACUGAUCGACUCGAAGGCAGGAGAGGGUAGUGGAAUUCCCGGUGUAGUGGUGAAAUGCGUAGAUAUCGUGGAGAACACCCGUGGCGAAGGCGGGCUUCUGGCUAAUAACUGACGCUGAGGUGCGAAAGCUAGGGGAGCGAACGGG